Molecule: ribosomal RNA, 462 nt
Filed under: uncultured bacterium
Lineage: Bacteria
Description: bacterial SSU rRNA
Rfam family: Bacterial small subunit ribosomal RNA
Source: RNAcentral
GGGCCCGCACAAGCAGUGGAUUAUGUGGUUUAAUUCGAAGCAACGCGAAGAACCUUACCAGGGUUUGACAUCCAACUAACGAAGCAGAGAUGCAUUAGGUGCCCUUCGGGGAAAGUUGAGACAGGUGGUGCAUGGUUGUCGUCAGCUCGUGUCGUGAGAUGUUGGGUUAAGUCCCGCAACGAGCGCAACCCUUAUUGUUAGUUGCUACGCAAGAGCACUCUAACGAGACUGCCGUUGACAAAACGGAGGAAGGUGGGGACGACGUCAAAUCAUCAUGCCCCUUAUAUCCUGGGCUACACACGUAAUACAAUGGCAUUUAACAGAGGGAAGCAAUACCGCGAGGUGGAGCAAAUCCCUAAAAGGUGUCUCAGUUCGGAUUGCAGGCUGCAACUCGCCUGUAUGAAGUCGGAAUUGCUAGUAAUCGCGGAUCAGCAUGCCGCGGUGAAUACGUUCCCGGGCCUU